This 520-nucleotide ribosomal RNA is filed under the name uncultured Glomus. Its description in RNAcentral is "SSU rRNA". It matches the Rfam family "Eukaryotic small subunit ribosomal RNA", at positions 569 to 1089 of the family's 1831-position model. Lineage: Eukaryota; Fungi; Glomeromycota; Glomeromycetes; Glomerales; Glomeraceae. The record is from RNAcentral.
AGCAGCCGCGGUAAUUCCAGCUCCAAUAGCGUAUAUUAAAGUUGUUGCAGUUAAAAAGCUCGUAGUUGAAUUUCGGGGUUAGUAGUUUGGUCGUGCCAAUGGUAUGUACUGGGCUCACUGAUUCCUCCUUCCUGAUGAACUGUAAUGCCAUUAAUUUGGUGUUGCAGGGAAACAGGACUGUUACUUUGAAAAAUUAGAGUGUUUAAAGCAAGCUAACGCUUGAAUACAUUAGCAUGGAAUAAUGAAAUAGGACGUUCGAACCUAUUUUGUUGGUUUCUAGGAUUGACGUAAUGAUUAAUAGGGAUAGUUGGGGGCAUUAGUAUUCAAUUGUCAGAGGUGAAAUUCUUGGAUUUAUUGAAGACUAACUACUGCGAAAGCAUUUGCCAAGGAUGUUUUCAUUAAUCAAGAACGAAAGUUAGGGGAUCGAAGACGAUCAGAUACCGUCGUAGUCUUAACCAUAAACUAUGCCGACUAGGGAUCGGAUGAUGUUAAUUUUUUAAUGUAACUCAUUCGGCGCCUU